Molecule: transfer RNA, 74 nt
Filed under: Candidatus Izemoplasmatales bacterium
Lineage: Bacteria; Bacillati; Mycoplasmatota; Mollicutes; Candidatus Izemoplasmatales
Description: tRNA-Gly
Rfam family: tRNA
About the family: Transfer RNA (tRNA) molecules are approximately 80 nucleotides in length. Their secondary structure includes four short double-helical elements and three loops (D, anti-codon, and T loops).
Source: RNAcentral
GCAGGUGUAGUUCAAUGGUAGAACUUCAGCCUUCCAAGCUGACCAUGAGGGUUCGAUUCCCUUCACCUGCUCCA